AGUUAGUCGCGUAGGGUACAGAGGUAAGAUGUUCUAUCUUUCAGACCUUUUACUUCACGUAAUCGGAUUUGGCUGAAUCUUUUAGCUCACCAGCAGGCCGCCCAUCGGGCCAAAGGUU
Molecule: small RNA, 118 nt
Filed under: Escherichia coli MS 146-1
Lineage: Bacteria; Pseudomonadati; Pseudomonadota; Gammaproteobacteria; Enterobacterales; Enterobacteriaceae
Source: RNAcentral